GACGAACGCUGGCGGCGUGCUUAACACAUGCAAGUCGAACGGAAAGGCCCUGCUUGCAGGGUACUCGAGUGGCGAACGGGUUAGUAACCCGUGGGUGAUCUGCCCUGCACUUCGGGAUAAGCCUGGGAAACUGUGUCUAAUACCGGAUAGAAUCCAUCUUUAGUGUGAUGAUUGCAAAGUUUUUUCGGUGUAGGAUGAGCUCGCGGGCUAUCAGCUUGUUGGUGGGGGAAUGGCCUACUAAGGCGGCGACGGGUAGCCGGCCUUGGGGGGUGGACGGCCACAUUGGGACUCAGAGACGGACCAGACUCGUACCGGAGGCAGCAGAGGAGAGUCUUACAGAAUGGGCGCGAGCCUGAUGCAGCGGCGCCGCGUGGGGGAUGACGGACUUCGGGUUGAAAACGCCUUUCGCUAGGGACGAAGCUUUUUGUGACGGUACCUAGACAAAAAGCACCGGCUAACUACGUG
This 465-nucleotide ribosomal RNA is filed under the name uncultured bacterium. Its description in RNAcentral is "partial 16S ribosomal RNA". It matches the Rfam family "Bacterial small subunit ribosomal RNA", at positions 28 to 507 of the family's 1533-position model. The record is from RNAcentral.